CUGCAAAUGAGUAAUUGACCUUCCCAGCAGAAGGACAACAGAAUUCUUACAGUGGGUUGGCCUACAGCUCCCCAGCUGUAGGAGCGAGCACUGUGCUUUGGUUAAUGUGACAGGCGUCCCAUAAAUCAUCUGUGCUUAUCAGAGCCCCUGUUGACCAUCUGCUGUUGAACUUCAGGUCAGUGAGCAAUGCUGUGACUUCUCAGGCCAGCACGCUCUUCCAUAGCAUGUGGGAUUGUUUUUCGUGAGCCUGUCAGGAUUUUUGAAGCCUCAACUUUAAAUCAGGGCCCGAGAAAGAAGAGGACAUGUUGGGGUCAGUGCACGAGAGACUGGGUCUUAUUUUCUCUUUCCAGCUCUCCCUGCCUGCCUGGAUGCUUCUGUCCAUUCUGGCCACUAUGCUGUUGGGGACUUUUUAUGGAAUUGAAAUAUUUGUUAAACUGGUCCAGAGUAGAUAUGUGGGGAGGCAGGAUCCUGCCUGUUGACCUAAAUCCAGGCCCCCUGAACCUCUCUCUCUGCUCUCUAGGAAGCCAACAGGAGCUGGGCUGCCAAUCAAAGGGCUGUCCCUGAUGGCAUAGUGGUCUGGCGGCCCACCCCCUGCCUGCCUCUCCAUCACCAAGCUCCAGGAACACUGCCUCCUUGCCAUUUCCUGAAUGAACCUGGGUCUUCUUUGAUGUCCCUUGAGGACAGCUCCUUCUCGUGCAGCAGGAGAGAUCCCCUCUCCCCAACCCUUCCUUGGAGACUGUCCUUGGCACCAGGCCCAAUGACCUCUCCUCCCCAGGCCCUUCUAGCACCUUGCCUGCCUGACUGCCCACCCCUCACCUCACUGGUCUUAUCUUAAUGAAAGUGAAAAGUGAAAAUGAAGUCACUCAGUCGUGUCCGACUCUUUGCGACCCCAUGGACUGUAGCCUACCAGGCUCCUCCGUCCAUGGGAUUCUCCAGGCAAGAAUCCUGGAGUGGGUUGCCAUUUCCUUCUCC
Molecule: long non-coding RNA, 972 nt
Organism: Bos taurus (domestic cattle)
Lineage: Eukaryota; Metazoa; Chordata; Mammalia; Artiodactyla; Bovidae
Source: Ensembl